AUACGGAGGAUCCGAGCGUUAUCCGGAUUUAUUGGGUUUAAAGGGUGCGCAGGCGGCCAUUUAAGUCAGCGGUUAAAUCGUGGGGCUCAACCCCAUUCUGCCGUUGAUACUGGGUGGCUUGAUUGCGGUCGAGGUUGGCGGAAUUCGUUGUGUAUGGGGGAAAUGCAUAGAUAUGACGAAGAACACCGAUUGCGUAGGCAGCUGACCAGACCGCAAAUGACGCUCAUGCACGAAAGUGCGGGGAUCGAACAGGAUUAGAUACCCUGGUAGUCCGCACAGUAAACGAUGAAUACUUGUUUUCGGCGAUAUAAUGUCAGAGGCAAAGCGAAAGCGAUAAGUAUUCCACCUGGGGAGUACGCCGGCAACGGUGAAACUCAAAUGAAUUGACGGGG
Molecule: ribosomal RNA, 392 nt
Filed under: uncultured bacterium
Lineage: Bacteria
Description: partial 16S ribosomal RNA
Rfam family: Bacterial small subunit ribosomal RNA
Source: RNAcentral